AUUACAUGGGAAUCUUGAUAAAACACAGAUUCUGAUUCAGUAGGUUUAGGGUGAGACUCAAGAUUCUGUAUUUCCAACAAGCUCCCAGGUAAUGCUGG
RNAcentral lists this microRNA precursor (98 nucleotides) under Callithrix jacchus (white-tufted-ear marmoset). RNAcentral describes it as "mir-544 microRNA precursor family". It matches the Rfam family "mir-544 microRNA precursor family". Lineage: Eukaryota; Metazoa; Chordata; Mammalia; Primates; Cebidae. The record is from Rfam by way of RNAcentral.